GUGCCCCCGGGCUGGUUCCUGGUCUUUCAGGGCUCGGCACGCCCGGUCGGGUCACCUGGGCCUCGGCGCUGCGACGCUCCUCCCACUCGCGGCAGCUGUCCAGGUCGCGCCGCCACUGCCCGCAGGCCGGCCGCUCGCCGUGGACGUAGUAGUGGCGCAGGAAGUGGCCGGCGCUGUUGCAGAGCUCCCACUCGGCGCGGUAGGCCUCGCAGGGGCGCGGCGGCUGCGGGGACGGGAACGGGGGAGUGAGCGGGGGACCCGGUGCGCGCCAGCCCGUCCCGCACGGACGGACCCGGUCUCCGUCCUCCCGACCUGGCCCCGCGGGUCCCCGGGUCCCACCCUACUUACCUGCCAGCCUCCACCUUCCGCCAUGUCCCGGGACUGCCUAACCCGCCUCCCGAGCCCGCGGGCCGCCGCGUGACUGACGGGCGGAGGGACCAAUAAGCCCCGAGAUCUCACCACUAGCUCCUCGCCCACCUCCUUGAGACGCGCCACUGAACAGGACGUCCGGGUUGGCAGCCAAUAACAGUCGAGGGAGGGCGGGGCCUGGAGGCCUGUGUGGGCGGGGCCUGGAGGCUGGGGCGGAGCCGAGGCCGGUUUGGGCCGGGCAUGCCCCCAGGGUUCCCAGAGCCGGCUAGCCACGUGGCGGAGGUGAUCUCGGCGUCCGCUCGGGCCGGCGGGCGUCCGGCUGCACAUUCACGUCCAGUAGCCGUUUAUGACGGAACCACGCGGCUCGGGCAGGUUCUUUCCAGCAGCUUUAUUUUCAUAAUCUCAAAGAUCGGUUCGUUUCGUCAGCACGCACCGGAAUCAGCGCCGCCACGCCAGUCCUACGGCUGCAGUGGUCCCACCUGUGUCCCCUCGAGGGCGGGGUGACUCCCAGCCAACGUGAUCCUGCAAACAAGGCUGCCCACCCACCAAGGAGGGUGUCUACCUCUGCCAGCGACCCAAGACUCCUGAAGUGGAGGGCCAGCGACUGUCCUUCUCCAGAGAAAGCGACGAAUCUGCCUCCAGCUUCAUCCUGAGUGUGAAGAGAAAAUACCAUUUUCAGAAACUCCUUGGAAGUUUAAUAAGAAAUGCUUUAUUCUGUUGACUCGUGUACCAUCUGCCCAUUUUCCUUACUCCCACAUUCAUAAUAAGAAAUGUCUUUGAAAUAGAAA
Long non-coding RNA from Eubalaena glacialis (North Atlantic right whale), 1157 nucleotides. RefSeq lists it as uncharacterized. NCBI's taxonomy places the organism in Eukaryota, Metazoa, Chordata, Mammalia, Artiodactyla, Balaenidae. The transcript has 3 exons. The record is from RefSeq and is a predicted model, not a curated record.